AACGCACAUUGCGCCCUUUGGUAUUCCUUAGGGCAUGCCUGUUCGAGCGUCAUUUAAACCUUCAAGCUCAGCUUGGUGUUGGGCGUCUGUCCCCCCUCGCGGGGACUCGCCUCAAAUGCAUUGGCAGCCGGUACGUUGGCUUCGAGCGCAGCAGAAACGCGCCCGGCGUCUGGCGUCGUCCGGCUCUCCAGCAAGCCAAACCCACGUUUGACCUCGGAUCAGGUAGGGAUACCCGCUGAACUUAA
Molecule: unclassified non-coding RNA, 245 nt
Filed under: uncultured fungus
Lineage: Eukaryota; Fungi
Description: partial contains 5.8S ribosomal RNA, internal transcribed spacer 2, and large subunit ribosomal RNA
Source: RNAcentral